Non-coding RNA from Notechis scutatus (mainland tiger snake), 557 nucleotides. Lineage: Eukaryota; Metazoa; Chordata; Lepidosauria; Squamata; Elapidae. The record is from RefSeq and is a predicted model, not a curated record.
CGGCGUUACCCCUUUUGGGGGGCUGUUGCAGCCUUUGCAAAAGCCCAGCUGAAUUAUUAGUAUAUAUUAUAUAUUACUAUAGGUAGUCCUCGAUUUACGACCACCAAGAAGCCCAAACUUUUUGCUGUUUAAGUGAGACAGGGAAUCUCGGUGACCUGCACGCCUCACUUAAACCUGAAGAUGUUGAUGUGGGUUCUUUUCCUGCCAAUUUUUGCUUCUCAUCUGGUCUACCUAAACAUAGGAAAGAAGCUCAAGGGAACCCCGAAACCCAAAAUAACCCAGAAAGAGCUGGAAUAUGCAAAGACCGUGGUGAUGGAGUUGCUCCUGCAACAACUGAGGAAGGAGCAGCAAAUCCGAGAUCAAAGCAGCAGUUACAACGUGCCCACCUUGGGAGAUGUUGUAGAAGGAUUGGCAAAUCCUGGGGCCCAAAUGAAAAGAGGACGUAUCAUAGAGUUGCUAUGUAAACAGAAACGCUCCAAGUCAUCUCCCCACACCCUCAACUGAAGUCUGUUAACCUUGAUCUAGCACCAAAGUUGUACAAACCAGGGGUCUCCAAC